This 253-nucleotide ribosomal RNA is filed under the name uncultured bacterium. RNAcentral describes it as "partial 16S ribosomal RNA". It matches the Rfam family "Bacterial small subunit ribosomal RNA", at positions 524 to 776 of the family's 1533-position model. The record is from RNAcentral.
CACGUAUGGGGCGAGCGUUUUUCGGAAUUAUUGGGCGUAAAGGGCGCGCAGGCGGCCACGUAAGCCUGGUGUGUAAGACCGCAGCUCAACUGCGGGGUUGCGCUGGGAACUGCGUGGCUGGAGUUCAGGAGGGGAAGCUGGAAUUCCUGGUGUAGGGGUGAAAUCUGUAGAUAUCAGGAAGAACACCGGCGGCGAAGGCGAGCUUCUGGCCUUGAACUGACGCUGAGGCGCGAAAGCGUGGGGAGCAAACAGG